RNAcentral lists this non-coding RNA (199 nucleotides) under Gammaproteobacteria bacterium. The record is from RNAcentral. Lineage: Bacteria; Pseudomonadati; Pseudomonadota; Gammaproteobacteria.
AACAUCGCGUUUGUAGUAGGUGGAUGAAAAAAUCCAUAACCGGGAAGUAGGUGAAAUGCCUGCACUGCCCACGCAACGGUAAGCGAGCCCGCUUAAUACGGGUCAGAAAAAACCACUGUACGAAAUCGUAUGGGAAGGUUCUGUUGAAGAUUAUUUUUCAAUCGCAAGUCCGGAGACCGACCUAUUGCUCUGUGUACUC